This 118-nucleotide ribosomal RNA is filed under the name Petromyzon marinus (sea lamprey). Lineage: Eukaryota; Metazoa; Chordata; Hyperoartia; Petromyzontiformes; Petromyzontidae. The record is from RNAcentral.
GCCUAUGACCAAAUCACUAUAAUUAUGCCCAAUCCCGUCAGAUCUUAACAGCUAAGCGGCAUUGGAUUUGUUAGUACUUGGGCGGGUGACCACCAGGGCUUGCCAGGUGCUGUAGGUG